This 176-nucleotide ribosomal RNA is filed under the name uncultured bacterium. RNAcentral describes it as "partial 16S ribosomal RNA". It matches the Rfam family "Bacterial small subunit ribosomal RNA", at positions 1326 to 1500 of the family's 1533-position model. The record is from RNAcentral.
CUGGAAUCGCUAGUAAUCGCAGGUCAGCAUACUGCGGUGAAUACGUUCCCGGGUCUUGUACACACCGCCCGUCACACCAUGGGAGCCGGAAAUGCCCGAAGCCGGUGACCAAACCAAUAAGGAAGGAGCCGUCGAAGGCAGGUCUGAUAACUGGGGUGAAGUCGUAACAAGGUAAC